GGGCUGUUAACUCAGUUGGUUAGAGUAGCCGACUCUUAAUCGGUUUGUCCAGGGUUCAACUCCCUGACAGCCCA
This 74-nucleotide transfer RNA is filed under the name Yersinia phage fHe-Yen9-04. Its description in RNAcentral is "tRNA-Lys-CTT". It matches the Rfam family "tRNA". From Rfam's summary of the family: Transfer RNA (tRNA) molecules are approximately 80 nucleotides in length. Their secondary structure includes four short double-helical elements and three loops (D, anti-codon, and T loops). Further hydrogen bonds mediate the characteristic L-shaped molecular structure. tRNAs have two regions of fundamental functional importance: the anti-codon, which is responsible for specific mRNA codon recognition, and the 3' end, to which the tRNAs corresponding amino acid is attached (by aminoacyl-tRNA synthetases). tRNAs cope with the degeneracy of the genetic code in two manners: having more than one tRNA (with a specific anti-codon) for a particular amino acid; and 'wobble' base-pairing, i.e. permitting non-standard base-pairing at the 3rd anti-codon position. RNAcentral also lists the same sequence under 1 other name. The record is from RNAcentral. Lineage: Duplodnaviria; Heunggongvirae; Uroviricota; Caudoviricetes.